Molecule: ribosomal RNA, 484 nt
Filed under: uncultured bacterium
Lineage: Bacteria
Description: partial 16S ribosomal RNA
Rfam family: Bacterial small subunit ribosomal RNA
Source: RNAcentral
AUUGAACGCUGGCGGCAUGCCUAACACAUGCAAGUCGAGCGGUUGAAGGGAGCUUGCUGCUGGAUUCAGCCGCGGACGGGUGAGAAAUGCCUAGAAAUCCGCCUGGUAGUGGGGGAUAACGUCCGGAAACGGGCUCUUAUACCGCAUACGUCCUGUGGGAGAAAGUGGGUGAGCUUCGGAUCUCUCGCUAUCAGAUUAGGCUAGGUCGGAUUAGCUAGUUGGUGGGGUAAAGGUCUACCAAGGCGACGAUCCGUAACUGGUCUGAGAGGAUGAACAGUCACACUGGCACUGAGACACGGCAGAGACUCCUACGGGAGGAAGCAGUGGGGAAUAUUGGACAAUGGGCGAAAGCCUGAUCCAGCCAUGUCGCGUGUAGGAAGAAGGUCUUAGGAUUGUAAAGUGAUUUAGGUUGGAAGGAAGGGCAGUAAGUUAAUACCGUACUGUAAUGACGUUACCGACAGAAUAAGCACCGGCUAACUUCGUG